AAGGGUGACGAAGCGACGCCGCGUGUGGGAAGAAGGCCUUCGGGUUGUAAACCACUGUCGGGAGUUAGGAAAUGCAGGUGCGUUAAUAGCGCACUUGCUUGACUAAGGCUCCAGAGGAAGCCACGGCUAACUCUGUGCCAGCAGCCGCGGUAAUACAGAGGCGGCAAGCGUUGUUCGGAAUUAUUGGGCGUAAAGAGCACGUAGGCGGCCUUGCAAGUCAGUUGUGAAAGCCUUCCGCUUAACGGAAGAACGGCAUCUGAUACUACAGGGCUUGAGUACGGGAGGGGAGAGUGGAACUUCUGGUGGAGCGGUGAAAUGCGUAGAUAUCAGAAGGAACGCCGGCGGCGAAAGCGACUCUCUGGUCCGAAACUGACGCUGAGUGUGCGAAAGCUAGGGGAGCAAACGGGAUUAG
This 412-nucleotide ribosomal RNA is filed under the name uncultured Planctomycetota bacterium. RNAcentral describes it as "bacterial SSU rRNA". It matches the Rfam family "Bacterial small subunit ribosomal RNA", at positions 379 to 781 of the family's 1533-position model. The record is from RNAcentral. Lineage: Bacteria; Pseudomonadati; Planctomycetota.